RNAcentral lists this ribosomal RNA (412 nucleotides) under uncultured bacterium. RNAcentral's name for it is "bacterial SSU rRNA". It matches the Rfam family "Bacterial small subunit ribosomal RNA", at positions 64 to 508 of the family's 1533-position model. The record is from RNAcentral.
GAACGAGAAAGGGGCUUCGGCCCUGAGUAAAGUGGCGCACGGGUGAGUAACACGUGACUAACCUACCCUGGAGUGGGGAAUAACUUCGAGAAAUCGAGGCUAAUACCGCAUAAUACCUACGGGUCAAAGGAGCAAUUCGCUCUGGGAGGGGGUCGCGGCAGAUUAGCUAGUUGGUGGGGUAAUGGCCCACCAAGGCAGUGAUCUGUAUCCGGCCUGAGAGGGCGCACGGACACACUGGAACUGAAACACGGUCCAGACUCCUACGGGAGGCAGCAGUGGGGAAUUUUGCGCAAUGGGGGAAACCCUGACGCAGCAACGCCGCGUGGAGGAUGAAGUCUCUUGGGACGUAAACUCCUUUCGACCGGGACGAUAAUGACGGUACCGGAAGAAGAAGCCCCGGCUAACUUCGUGC